Molecule: ribosomal RNA, 301 nt
Filed under: uncultured bacterium
Lineage: Bacteria
Description: partial 16S ribosomal RNA
Rfam family: Bacterial small subunit ribosomal RNA
Source: RNAcentral
CAGUCGCCGCGGUAAAACUUAGGUGGCAAGCGUUGUCCGGAAUUAUUGGGCGUAAAGGGCUCGCAGGCGGUUUCUUAAGUCUGAUGUGAAAGCCCCCGGCUCAACCGGGGAGGGUCAUUGGAAACUGGGAGACUUGAGUGCAGAAGAGGAGAGUGGAAUUCCACGUGUAGCGGUGAAAUGCGUAGAGAUGUGGAGGAACACCAGUGGCGAAGGCGACUCUCUGGUCUGUAACUGACGCUGAGGAGCGAAAGCGUGGGGAGCGAGCAGGAUUAGAGACCCCUGUAGUCCCUGUCUCUUAUAC